CUAUGCGCCUUGCCAGCCCGCUCAGUCAGAGUUUGAUCCUGGCUCAGGAUGAACGCUAGCGGCAGGCCUAAUACAUGCAAGUCGAACGGGUGUAGCAAUACACUAGUGGCGCACGGGUGCGUAACGCGUAACCAACCUGCCCUUGACUGGGGGAUAGCCCGCCGAAAGGCGGAUUAAUACCGCAUAAACCAACAGCCUGGCAUCAGGCAAUUGGUAAAGAUUUAUUGGUCAAGGAUGGGGUUGCGUGACAUUAGCUAGUUGGCGGGGUAACGGCCCACCAAGGCGACGAUGUCUAGGGGACCUGAGAGGGUGAUCCCCCACACUGGCACUGAGAUACGGGCCAG
Molecule: ribosomal RNA, 344 nt
Filed under: uncultured bacterium
Lineage: Bacteria
Description: bacterial SSU rRNA
Rfam family: Bacterial small subunit ribosomal RNA
Source: RNAcentral